GCGCGAAAACUCUACAAUGCAGGCAACUGCGAUAGGGGGACAUCGAGUGGCAGCGGGUGUAGCAAGGGCCGGGCAAGACCGGUGCCAGCCGCCGCGGUAAUACCGGCGGCUCGAGUGGUGGCCGAUAUUAUUGAGUCUAAAGGGUCCGUAGCCGGCUUUGCAAGUCUCUCGGGAAAUCCAGCGGCUUAACCGUUGGUCUCCGGGGGGUACUACAUUGCUUGGGACUGGGAGAGGUAGGAGGUACUCAGGGGGUAGGAGUGAAAUCCUGUAAUCCUUUGGGGACCACCGGUGGCGAAGGCGUCCUACCAGAACAGGUCCGACGGUGAGGGACGAAAGCUAGGGGCACGAACCGGAUUAGAUACCCGGGUAGUCCUAGCCGUAAACGAUGCUCGCUAGGUGUCACAACAGUCGUGAACUGUUGUGGUGCCGUAGGGAAGCCGUGAAGCGAGCCACUUGGGAAGUACGACCGCAAGGUUGAAACUUAAAGGAAUUGGCGGGGGAGCACACAACGGGUGGAGCCUGCGGUUUAAUUGGACUCAACGCCGGGAAGCUUACCGGGAUCGACAGUGUAUGAAGGCCAGGCUGAAGACCUUGCCGGACUAUCUGAGAAGAAGUGCAUGGCC
RNAcentral lists this ribosomal RNA (623 nucleotides) under uncultured archaeon. RNAcentral describes it as "bacterial SSU rRNA". It matches the Rfam family "Archaeal small subunit ribosomal RNA", at positions 339 to 999 of the family's 1478-position model. The record is from RNAcentral.